RNAcentral lists this ribosomal RNA (301 nucleotides) under uncultured bacterium. RNAcentral describes it as "partial 16S ribosomal RNA". It matches the Rfam family "Bacterial small subunit ribosomal RNA", at positions 509 to 807 of the family's 1533-position model. The record is from RNAcentral.
CAGUAGCCGCGGUAAAACGGAGGGGGCUAGCGUUGUUCGGAAUUACUGGGCGUAAAGCGCACGUAAGCGGCUUGGUAAGUUAGAGGUGAAAGCCCGGAGCUCAACUCCGGAAUUGCCUUUAAGACUGCCGAGCUAGUAGGUGAGAGAGGUAAGUGGAAUUCCGAGUGUAGAGGUGAAAUUCGUAGAUAUUCGGAAGAACACCAGUGGCGAAGGCGGCUUACUGGCUCAUUCUAGACGCUGAGGUGCGAAAGCGUGGGGAGCAAACAGGAUUAGAUACCCCAGUAGUCCCUGUCUCUUAUAC